This 426-nucleotide ribosomal RNA is filed under the name uncultured bacterium. RNAcentral's name for it is "partial 16S ribosomal RNA". It matches the Rfam family "Bacterial small subunit ribosomal RNA", at positions 354 to 796 of the family's 1533-position model. The record is from RNAcentral.
GUGAGGAAUUUUCCGCAAUGGGCGAAAGCCUGACGGAGCAAUGCCGCGUGAAGGAUGAAGGCCUAUGGGUUGUAAACUUCUUUUCUCAGAAAAGAAUUAUGACGGUAUCUGAGGAAUAAGCAUCGGCUAACUCUGUGCCAGCAGCCGCGGUAAGACAGAGGAUGCAAGCGUUAUCCGGAAUGAUUGGUCGUAAAGCGUCUGUAGGUUGUUUAAUAAGUAUUCUGUCAAAGAUUAGGGCUAAACCCUAGAUAGGCAGAAUAAACUUAUAAGCUUAAGUGUGGUAGAGGCAGAGGGAAUUCCCGGUGGAGCAGUGAAAUGCGUAGAUAUCGUGAGGAACACCAAAGGCGAAGGCACUCUGCUGGGCCAAUACUAACACUGAGAGACGACAGCGAGGGGAGCAAAUGAGAUUAGAUACCCGUGUAGUCC